CAGGUGGUGCAUGGUUGUCGUCAGCUCGUGUCGUGAGAUGUUGGGUUAAGUCCCGCAACGAGCGCAACCCUCGACCUUAGUUGCCAGCAUUCAGUUGGGCACUCUAAGGUGACUGCCGGCUAAAAGUCGGAGGAAGGUGGGGAUGACGUCAAAUCAUCAUGCCCCUUAUGACCUGGGCUACACACGUGCUACAAUGGGCGGUACAAAGGGUCGCGAACCCGCGAGGGGGAGCCAAUCCCAAAAAGCCGCUCUCAGUUCGGAUUGCAGGCUGCAACUCGCCUGCAUGAAGCCGGAAUCGCUGGUAAUCGCGGAUCAGCAUGCCGCGGUGAAUACGUUCCCGGGCCUU
This 346-nucleotide ribosomal RNA is filed under the name uncultured Anoxybacillus sp. RNAcentral's name for it is "bacterial SSU rRNA". It matches the Rfam family "Bacterial small subunit ribosomal RNA", at positions 1035 to 1382 of the family's 1533-position model. Lineage: Bacteria; Bacillati; Bacillota; Bacilli; Caryophanales; Anoxybacillaceae. The record is from RNAcentral.